UAUAAUUUUUCCAUUUCAAGAAUGUUAUAUAAAUGGAAUCAUAGACUAUUUGAUGUGAGAUUGAGAUCAAUCCAAGUUGUAGUGUGUAUCAGUUGUUUCUUUUAUUACUACAUAGUAUUCCACUGUGUGAAUGUGUUGUAGUUUGUUUAGCCAUUCAUCUAUUGAAGAACUUCUUGGUUCUUUCUUGUCUUGGGCUUUAAUGAAUAAAGCUGCUAUGAAUGUUCGUGUUCAGGUUUUUAGGUGAACAUAAGUUAUUAUUUCUCUGGGAUAAAUGCCCAGGAGUGUGAUUGGUGUUGUAUGGCAAGUAUAUAUUUUGUUCUUUAAGAAACUGCCAAACUGUUUUUCAGAGUGGGAGUACCAUUUUGCAUUUCCAGCAGCAUUGUAUGAGAAAGCCAGUUACUUCCUGUCCUUCCUAGUACUUGAUCCUAUCACCAGGAGUUUUCCCUGCUGCUGUCUGCCUUAGCAAAUCCUGUCUCACCGGAACCCGCAAGAAGUCCUCCUCUUCAUGGAAACUGAUGAUCCUUCCUCUUGCCCAUGAACCCACCUGGAGGAGUCAAGCCCAGCAUGGAUGCCAGUGAGUUGGGUCAAAGCCAGGGAAAGGUCCUGGGAUCAAGAACUGGAUGAGUAGAGUGAAAAUUUCUGAUCAGCCAGAAGUAGAAAGAGCCAGAAGAUAAACCAAACCCAUUUUCCAAGGAGUGCCAAAGGUGAAAAGCAGGAAAGCCAAAAUACUCAUCAAGACCAAAGGGGGAGCACAGAGCCAGAAGCUGGGAGGAGAAAGGGAGUCAAGAAAGUCAAUGCCAGGAACUGCUAUGCUAGCUGAGGCACAUGGUACCCUGUAAACCUGAAGAGAUGCUCAGUGAGGCACUGCUUCCUGCAUGAGACACUAUAGUAACCCAAGGCCAGAUCACCCUCAGGUUGAGGAUAGCCUGCACUAAGAGUCCUUCAUCUUGGUUUAACUUUAAGAAGUCAAAUGGAUGCAUGAGAAAGCUCCACAGACCAAAUCCAAGAUCUUAGCCAAGCCCCAAAGUAGCCUGUUACACAUUCUUCUGGAAGUAAUGACUGUACUAGCUUCACAUCUUCAUAACUAAAAAGGGCCACUUGAAGGGCCCAGAACAAGGUUUGCACAAAGGCACAAUGAUUUCUGCUACCUCAAUAGAUGCAGAAAAAACAUUUGACAAAAUCAAAAUCUCUUCCUGAUCAAAAUACUCAUCAAACUAGGAAUACAAAAUCCUCAACUUGAUAAAGAGCAUCCAUGGAACCCCACGGUGCACAUCAUACUUAAUGGUGAAAGUCUGCAUGUUUCCCCUAUGAUCAGGAACAAGCAAGGAUGUCUGCUGUCACCACUUCCAUUCCACAUUCUACCUGGUGGUUCUACCCAAGGCAACCGGACAAGAAAAAGAAAUAAAGACACCCAGAUUGGAAUGGAAUAAGUAAAUCUAUAUUUCCAGAUGACAUGAUCUUGUAUAUAGAAAAUCCUAAGGAAUCUACAAGGACCCUAUUAGAGCUAAUAAAUGAGUUCAGCAAGGUUUGAGGCUACAGGUCAAUGUGCAAAAAGCAAUUAUGUUUCUAUACACUAGCAAUAAACAAUCUGAAAAUGAAAUUAAGAAGGAAAAUCCCAUUUACAACAGCAUCAAGAAGAACAAAAUAAUUAGGAAAAAAUUAAUAAAAGAAGUACAAAACUUGUACUCUGAAGAUAUAUGUAUGGGAUAUGAAGAAUUGAGAACAUUCAUCCUCUGCUGAAAGAAAUGUAAGUUGGUAUCACCACUUUGGAAAGACAGUUUGGCAUGAUAGUAAAACUGAAUAUGCACAAACCCUUCAAUUCUGCAAUUCUGUUCCUCGGUUUAUACACCAGGGAAUAUGUACACAAAUGAGCAAGAAGUCACAUUCAUAAUAGCCCCAAACUGAAAAAAAACGUGCAUAUGCAUUAGUGAUGAGCUGGUUUAGUAAAUCGUGACAUAGUCAAACAGUGGAACACACUGUAUAACCAAUAAUAUGAAUAAACUACGGCUAAAAAAGCAUAUCAAAACUAUAAUUCUGAUUAAAAGAAUUAAAUCUACAUAACUCCCAUUUACAGAAAGUUUAAAAACAAGAAAAUUCAGUAAUACAUUUAUAAUAUAAGGAUAUAUACACAUAUAAUAAAAAUAUGCAUGGAACUGACCCUGUGGCCCAGUGGUGAAGUUCCCAUGCUCUGCUUCGACAGCCCAGGGUUUGCUGGUUCACAUCCUGGGCAUGAACCUAGCAGCACUCAUCAAGCCAUGCUGAGGCAGCAUCCCACAUAGAAGAACUAGGAGAACCUACAACUAGGAUAUACAGUUAUAUACUGGGGGACUUUGGGGAGAAAAAAAAAGAGGAAGAUUGGCAACAGAUGUUAGCUCAGGGCCAAUCUUCCUCACCAAAAGAAAGUGAUAUAAUUUAAAAAUAAUAAUAAAACUAUGCAGAAAAGCAAGAGAAUGAUUAACCUAAAAUUAAAGUUGAAGGGUGUCAGAAGGAGCACAAGACGUCUUCUGGUGAACUGGCAAUAUUCUGUUUCUUAACCUAGAUAUUGGAUAGUGUGAUGGUUAAUUUGAUGUGUCACUUGACAGAACUAAGGGGUGUAUUUGUGGGGAUGAUUUCAGAAGAGAUUAGCAUUUUAAUUGAUAGACUGUGUAAAGAAGAUGGCCCUCCACAAUGAGAGUGGACGUCAUCCAAUCCUUUGAGUGCCCACAUGUAUGGUAGUCCCCCUUUUCUGUGGUUUUGCUUUCUCAGGUUUUGGUAACCUGAGGCCAACCGAGGUCUGAAAAUAUUAAAUGAAAAAAACCAGAAAUAAACAAUUCAUAAGUUUUAAAUUGCAUGCCAUUCUGAGUAGUGUGAUGAAAUCUCACACAGUCCCACUCCAUCCUGCCAGAGAUGUGAAUCAUCCCUUUGUCCAGCAUAUCCACACUGUAUACACUACCUGCCUAUUAGUCACUUAGUAGCCAUCCUGGUUCAGUGCUUGCAUUCAAGUAACCCUUAUUUUACCUAAUAAUGACCCCAAAGCACAAGACUAGUGAUGCUGGCUAUUGGGAUAUGCCAAAGAGAAGCCAUAAAGUGCUUCCUUUAAGUGAAAAGAUGCAAGUUCUAGACUUCAUAAGGAGAGAAAAAAACUAUAUGCCAAGGUAGCCAAGAUCUUCAUUAUGAAUGAAUCUUCUAUCUAAGAAAUUGUGAGGAAGGAAAAAGAAAUGCUAGUUUUGCUGUCACACCUCAAAUAUGUAUGUAUAGGAAAAAACAUAGUAUACAUAUAAAGUUUGAUACUAUCCAUGGUUUCAGGCAUCCACUGGGGGUCUUGGAAUGUAUCCCCAUGGAUAAGGUGUGAUUACUGUAAUGGAAAGGCAGAGGAAGGGCAAUUCCUUCUCUCUGCUUGAGCUGGGACAUCUAUCUUCUCCUGCCCUUGGACUUUGGUGCUCCUGGUUCUCAGGCCUACAUGCUUGGACUGGAACUAUAUCACUGGCUUUCCUGGGCCUCCAGCUUACAGACAGCAUAUUGUGGGACUUCUCAGCCUCUGUAAUCAUGUGAGCCAAUUCCUCAUAAUAAAUUUCCUUCUGUAUAUCUCUAUAUAUCCUAUUGGUUCUGUUUCUCUGGAGAACUCUUACUAAUACAGAUACAAGGGUGUUGUUUUAUUUUUUCACUUUAAACUGUACAAAUACAUUGUAUAUACUUCUGUAUGUAGGAUAUAUCAUGCACACAUGCAAUUGGGAUCUUAUCUGCUUAAUAUACAAGUCCCAGCAGCAGUGAGGGACUCAGGAAAAUGA
This is a long non-coding RNA of Equus asinus (donkey), 3767 nucleotides long. NCBI's taxonomy places the organism in Eukaryota, Metazoa, Chordata, Mammalia, Perissodactyla, Equidae. The record is from Ensembl.